GCCUCUGUAGCUCAGUGGCAGAGCACUGGUCUUGUAAAACAGGGUUCGUGAGUUCAAUCCUCACAGGAGGCA
RNAcentral lists this transfer RNA (72 nucleotides) under Acanthoscelides obtectus. It matches the Rfam family "tRNA". From Rfam's summary of the family: Transfer RNA (tRNA) molecules are approximately 80 nucleotides in length. The record is from Rfam by way of RNAcentral. Lineage: Eukaryota; Metazoa; Arthropoda; Insecta; Coleoptera; Chrysomelidae.